GGUUCGAUCAUGGCUCAGAUUGAACGCUGGCGUGUGGAUGCUUUACACAUGCAAGUCGAACGGCAGCACGGACUUCGGUCUGCGGCGAGUGGCGAACGGGUGAGUAAUGUAUCGGAACGUGCCUAGUAGCGGGGAUAACUACGGCAGCAGUAGCUAAUACCGCAUAUUGCCCUUCGGGGAAAGCGGGGACCUUCGGGCCUCGCACUAUUAGAGCGGCCGAUAUCGGAUUAGCUAGUUGGUGGGGUAACGGCUCACCAAGGCGACGAUCCGUAGCUGGUUUGAGAGGACGACCAGCCACACUGGGAUCAGACACGGCCCAGACUCCUACGGGAGGCAGCAGUGGGGAAUUUGGACAAUGGGGGGAAACCCUGAUCCAGCCAUCCCGCGUGUGCGAUGAAGGCCUUCGGCCAGGUACACUUUUGGCAGGGGAAAGAAACGGCACGGGAUAAUACCCCGUGCAACUGACGGUACCUGCAGAAUAAGCACCGGAUAACCGCCGCCAGCAGCCGCGGUAAUACGUAGGGUGCAAGCGUUAAUCGGAAUUACUGGGCGUAAAGCGUGCGCAGGCGGUUCGGAAAGAAAGGUGAAAUCCCAGAGCUUAACUUUGGAACUGCAUUUUUGAACUCACCGAGCUAGAGGUGUCAGAGGGAGGGUGGACCAUGCGUAGCAGUGAAAUGUGCGUAGAUAUGCGGAGGAACACCGAUGGCGAAGGCAGCCUCUGGGAUAACACUGACGCUCAUGCACGAAAGCGUGGGGAGCAAACAGGAUUAGAUACCCUGGUAGUCCACGCCCUAAACGAUGUCAAUCGCUGGUGGGGCCUUCUGGCCUUGGUGGUAGCGCAGCUAACGCGUGAAGUUGACCGCCUGGGGAGUACGGUCGCAAGAUUAAAACUCAAAGGAAUUGACGGGGACCCCGCACAAGCGGUGGAUGAUGUGGAUUAAUUCGAUGCAACGCGAAAACCUUACCUACCUCUUUGACAUGUCUGGAAUCCCGAAGAGAUUUUGGGAGUGCUCGUAAGAGAACCGGAACAUGUGGUGCUGCAUGGCUGUCGUCAGCUCGUGUCGUGAGAUGUUGGGUUAAGUCUCGCAACGAGCGCAACCUUGUCAUUAGUUGUCACAAAGGGCACUCUAGACGAGAUCGUUUACGACAAACCGGAGGAAGGUGGGGAUGAGGGUCAAGUCCUCAUGGCCCCAGGAAGCCACACGUCAUACAAUGGUCGGGACAGAGGGUCGCCAACCCGCGAGGGGGAGCCAAUCCCAGAAACCUGAUCGUAGUCCGGAUCGCAGUCUGCAAUCCUCGACUGCAGGAAGUUUGAAUCGCUAGUAACGCGGAUCGUGAAGUAUGUCGCGGUGAAUACGUUCCGGGUCUGUACACCGCCCGUCACACCAUGGGAGUGGGUUUUACCAGAAGCGCAGUUAGCCUAACCGUAAGAGGCGAUUACCACGGUAGGAUUCCAUGAUCAGUGAAGUCGUAACAAGGUAG
This 1482-nucleotide ribosomal RNA is filed under the name uncultured Bordetella sp. RNAcentral's name for it is "partial 16S-23S ribosomal RNA intergenic spacer". It matches the Rfam family "Bacterial small subunit ribosomal RNA". Lineage: Bacteria; Pseudomonadati; Pseudomonadota; Betaproteobacteria; Burkholderiales; Alcaligenaceae. The record is from RNAcentral.